This 428-nucleotide ribosomal RNA is filed under the name uncultured bacterium. Its description in RNAcentral is "bacterial SSU rRNA". It matches the Rfam family "Bacterial small subunit ribosomal RNA", at positions 355 to 776 of the family's 1533-position model. The record is from RNAcentral.
UGGGGAAUAUUGGACAAUGGGCGCAAGCCUGAUCCAGCAAUUCCGCGUGUGUGAAGAAGGCCUUCGGGUUGUAAAGCACUUUAAGUUGGGACGAAAAAACCGGAGUGAACAUCUCCGGUCUUGACGGUACCGACAGAAUAAGCACCGGCUAACUCUGUGCCAGCAGCCGCGGUAAUACAGAGGGUGCAAGCGUUAAUCGGAUUUACUGGGCGUAAAGCGUGCGUAGGCGGCUACGUAAGUCGGAUGUGAAAUCCCUGGGCUUAACCUGGGAACUGCAUUCGAUACUGCGUGGCUAGAGUACGGUAGAGGGUGGCGGAACUCCGGGUGUAGCGGUGAAAUGCGUAGAUAUCCGGAAGAACACCGAUGGCGAAGGCAACCACCUGGGCCUGUACUGACGCUGAGGUACGAAAGCGUGGGGAGCAAACAGG